UGAGUCUCACCAUAGACGACUAUAGAUUAUACAGCCAGCUGAGUCUCACCAUAGACUACUAUAGAUUAUACAGUCAACUGAGUCUCACCAUAGAUUAUACAGUCAGAUGAGUCUCACCAUAGACUACUAUAGAUUAUACAGUCAGCAGAGUCUCACCAUAGACUACUAUAGAUUAUACAGCCAGCUGAGUCUCACUACUCCUCACCAUAGACUACUAUAGAUUAUACAGCCAGCUGAGUCUCACCAUAGACUACUAUAGAUUAUACAGCCAGCUGAGUCUCACCAUACACCACUAUAGAUUAUACAGCCAGCUGAGUCUCACCAUAGACUACUAUAGAUUAUACAGCCAGCUGAGUCUCACCAUAGACUACUAUAGAUUAUACAGCCAGCUGAGUCUCACCAUACACCACUAUAGAUUAUACAGCCAGCUGAGUCUCACCAUAGACUACUAUAGAUUAUACAGCCAGCUGAGUCUCACCAUAGACUACUAUAGAUUAUACAGCCAGCUGAGUCUCACUACUCCUCACCAUAGACUACUAUAGAUUAUACAGCCAGCUGAGUCUCACCAUAGACUACUAUAGAUUAUGCAGUCAGCUGAGUCUCACCAUAGACUACUAUAGGUUAUACAGCCAGCUGAGUCUCACCAUAGACUACUAUAGAUUAUACAGCCAGCUGAGUCUCACUACUCCUCACCAUAGACUGCUAUAGAUUAUACAGCCAGCUGAGUCUCACCAUAGACUACUGUAGAUUAUGCAGUCAGCUGAGUCUCACUACUCCUCACCAUAGACUGCUAUAGAUUAUACAGCCAGCUGAGUCUCACCAUAGACUACUGUAGAUUAUGCAGUCAGCUGAGUCUCACCAUAGACUACUAUAGAUUAUACAGCCAGCUGAGUCUCACCAUAGACUACUAUAGAUUAUACAGCCAGCUGAGUCUCACCAUAGACUACUAUAGAUUAUACAGCCAGCUGAGUCUCACUACUCCUCACCAUAGACUGCUAUAGAUUAUGCAGUCAGCUGAGUCUCACCAUAGACUACUAUAGGUUAUGCAGUCAGCUGAGUCUCACCAUAGACUACUAUAGGUUAUACAGCCAGCUGAGUCUCACUACUCCUCACCAUAGACUACUAUAGAUUAUACAGCCAGCUGAGUCUCACUACUCCUCACCAUAGACUGCUAUAGAUUAUACAGCCAGCUGAGUCUCACCAUAGACUACUGUAGAUUAUACAGUCAGCUGAGUCUCACCAUAGACUACUAUAGAUUAUACAGCCAACUGACUGUCACUCCAGACCAUAAACUCCAGCAAACUGACCACCAUUUGAGCACCAAUUCAUUACAUAGAGUGAUAUAUCUAGGCCUAUCACUCUACCACUAUACUUCUGACAUUAGAACUACAGAAACAUUCUACCGCUAUACUUCUGACAUAGAACUACUGUAACAUUCUAGCGUCUGGAUUAUUCUGACAUAGAACUACAGUAACAUUCUAGCGUCUGGAUUAUUCUGACAUAGAACUACAGUAACAUUCUAGCCUCUGACAUAGAACUACAGUAACAUUCUAGCGUCUGGAUUAUUCUGACAUAGAAUUACAGUAACAUUCUAGCCUCUGAAUUAUUCUGACACAGAACUACUGUAACAGUCUACCACUAUACUUCUGACAUAGAACUACUGUAACAUUCUAGCGUCUGGAUUAUUCUGACAUAGAACGACAGUAACAUUCUACCACUAUACUUCUGACAUAGAACUACAGUAACAUUCUAGCCUCUGAAUUAUUCUGACAUAGAACUACAGUUAUAGCCUGGAGGUUUCCUCAGGGCAGGGAGAGAGAAGGGAGAGGUUAGCCUGGAGGUUUCCUCAGGGCAGGGAGAGAGAAGGGAGAGUUAGCCUGGAGGUUUCCUCAGGGCAGGGAGAGAGAAGGGAGAGGUUAGCCUGGAGGUUUCCUCAGGGCAGGGAGAGAGAAGGGAGAGGUUUGCCCGGAGGUUUCCUCAGGGCAGGGAGAGAGAAGGGAGAGGUUAGCCCGGAGGUUUCCUCAGGGCAGGGAGAGAGAAGGGAGAGGUUAGCCCGGAGGUUUCCUCAGGGCAGGGAGAGACAAGGGAGAGGUUAGCCCAGAGGUUUCCUCAGGGCAGGGAGAGAGAAGGGAGAGGUUAGCCCGGAGGUUUCCUCAGGGCAGGGAGAGAGAAGGGAGAGAUUAGCCCGGAGGUUUCCUCAGGGCAGGGAGAGGUUAGCCCGGAGGUUUCCUCAGGGCAGGGAGAGUUAGAAGGGAGAGGUUAGCCUGGAGGUUUCCUCAGGGCAGGGAGAGAGAAGGGAGAGUUAGCCUGGAGGUUUCCUCAGGGCAGGGAGAGAGAAGGGAGAGGUUAGCCUGGAGGUUUCCUCAGGGCAGGGAGAGAGAAGGGAGAGUUAGCCUGGAGGUUUCAACUGUGUGUGUGUGUGUGUCAUGGCUGGCCUGCCUUCAGAAGUCAAAGUUGGAUCAUAGUAAUGUAAAUAGCUUUUUAGAACUGUAGUAAUGAACUGAUAACAGUCAGCCGGUUUCAGACACAGACAUGUUGUUUAUCAAAUCAUCUUGUCACAGGAUACAGCUCAAAUGGCACCCUAUUCCCUAAAUAGUGCACAACUUUUCACCAGGGUCCAUAGUGCUUGGGUCAAAUGUAGUGGACUUUAUAGGGAACAGGGCCCUACUUGGAAUGCUGUUAUGGAGUAGCUCUUCUGUCCUUCCUUUCUGCUUCCAUGGAGUUGGUGUUCCAGGAAAUGGUGUGGAUGAGGGGAGCAUGUCCUGCUGCAGACACACACACACACACACACACACACACACACACACUUUGACUGUUGAAACCCCCGGGCUUUCCAUUCUUUCUCCUAGUCAUCAGGAAGCCAGGAACAUUUCUGACUUGAAAGUGAGGACUGUAACAGGAGAAAUUCCCAAGAACUUCAGACUGUUGAUGGUCCUGCAAUGGUUUCUCUUUACGUCCUGUUCUCUUUAAGUCCGGUUUCUCUUGGUCUUCCCUGUAGCUCAGUUGGUAGAGCAUGGUGUUUGCAACGCCAGGGUUGUGGGUUCGUUUCCCACGGGGG
Molecule: non-coding RNA, 3058 nt
Organism: Salmo salar (Atlantic salmon)
Lineage: Eukaryota; Metazoa; Chordata; Actinopteri; Salmoniformes; Salmonidae
Source: RefSeq, a predicted model, not a curated record